This is a non-coding RNA of Gossypium arboreum, 107 nucleotides long. Lineage: Eukaryota; Viridiplantae; Streptophyta; Magnoliopsida; Malvales; Malvaceae. The record is from Rfam.
AAUCCGUGAUGUAGGAACCUUUAAAUCAACUUCUUGAAACACUCCCAUGCUUCGUAAAGGUUUUCUCCUUCUAAAUACUUGAACAUCAAAAUUUCUCUUCUUAACUU